This 653-nucleotide unclassified non-coding RNA is filed under the name Hevea brasiliensis (rubber tree). The record is from RNAcentral. Lineage: Eukaryota; Viridiplantae; Streptophyta; Magnoliopsida; Malpighiales; Euphorbiaceae.
UAAAUAUAAGUUUUUUUAUUUAACUGUUUUAUUACUUGAUUAGGUCUUUUUCUUUCUAGUGUUUUAGAGGGAAACUUUCUUUAUUUUCUCGUUGAGUCCUUUCUCUUCGGUCUAGCUGAAUGUCUGCCACUGGUUGGUUUCUUUUACCCUUCCAAGCAGGGAAGCUCUUCCUCCCGACUUGUAGUGUGGGUUUGCUCUCCCUAACUCUAGGUUGGGCUAUAAAUAUCAAUUUGGCUUGAUGCAGAUUGUGGAGUUUCUCGGUGAGGGUUGAGUUUUUUAUGAGCUGCCUUUUCUAUUUUAUGGUUUGUGUUUGAUGCAACAAUGGCUCAGUGAGCAUCUCCGAGUCCUAAAACUAAUGCUAUUUGUUGCUUUCUGGUGACUCAAUUGAGAGACUGGAAGCUCCGCCAUCCCUCUACUUCAAAGUCUGCAGUGAUAGAUCCUAACUUCAAUCUUCGGGAGCUUGAGGCGAUGCCAUUGGAAUUGGGGGUUCUACUUGAUUUGGUUGUCCUUCGCUACGUAUGGCUUCUCAUGGUAGUUCUCUAUUUGGUUUUCUUGUUCCUAACGGUUAUUCCAGUGGCCAUGGGGUUAGGUUCGCUUGGCAACGUAAGAUAUGUUUGGCAUUGAGUUUCAACUGUUUUUAGAUGUUAAUGAAA